AUUGCGUCUUUGCCCACCUGGUUCCAACAUUGUCCUAAAAAUUAAACCGCAUGGUAAGGCUCACCGCACAAAGUUGUAGGGUUAUUCAUUUUGAAUUACAAGGAUUUUUCUAUUUCUAUAGUUAUUCAUCUGUCAUCAGUGCCCCUGAUAUGAAUUAAUUAGAAAGACUUUUCAAGAAAAUUUUAUCAUACCUACUACUAAUGCGCUUAUAUUAACAGUAAUCAACAUAAAUGAUAUUCUGAGCACAUAAUCAUGUUCAAAUCUUAUGUUGUUGUUCGAGGUGAUAAAGAGUUAUACAUGAAGCAUUUCUGUCCUGGCCGACAUCAAGCAAAGCGUUUUGUCAACGAUGGCAUUCAACCUAUCUCGCCGCCAGAGGGAAGUGCGAGGCAGACCAAAGUGAAAUGUAUGACGGUCGUUGAAAGUCGAUUCAAGUUAUGGUUUCCGGAUUCUAACAUUAACUUUUGAAAUCAUAUUUAGAGAAACAAAUUUGGUAAAUUAAUGCUGCUGCUGGGCAGAAUCUUGAUGCACAAUGUCUAAUAAAAAGAAGAAAAAAAAAAGUGACAUGGCACUUUACAUGACAACCAAUAUAGAAGUAACAAAACUUAGUUAUAGAAAAUAUUUAUUGUAUAAUGAAUAAAUAAUUACGCGAGCUUAUUAUUUCUCCUCCGUAGUAGAUAAAAGUAGCCGGGGCAACUCCCAAGGCCUUAGACACAUUGGUUCUAACCUAACAGCACUAAUAGGCGGAAUCUCAACCCCAACGACAGACCCAACUGGUUCCUCACCAUCAACGACGAAUAAUUCUUCAGAUAACCCAAAUCUCAGUUUAGCUGACUCGACAAACUCAUCCGCCACAUCACAGGCAUAUCGGAACAAUUCCAAUUUGUGUUUGAGCUUUUCUAAGGGGUCUGUCUCUUCGUCGUCGUCCGUUAAGGUGGAAGAUGAUGAUGAUGGUGACGAUGAUGGUGAUGACGAUGCCUGUUGAUCUUUGGAUUCGAGUGUUGUUGCGACUGCAUUCACCAAUUCUUGAUAUGCGUUGUUUAUUGCGUCUACCAUGUCGUCCAUUAUUAUAUUUAUAUCAAGCGAUUUUCUUUACGAACUAUAAGAAGAUGGAUCGAAAUAUAUAGGGGGAAUGAAUUAAAUUAGGUUUAACUGCGGCAAGGGAUAUAUAUUUAUGUAAUCGUAAUAGAAAUAGGAAUUACGUAAACUUGGCGCAUAGUAUCUUUGGAAGGUUUUUUUUCCUAAUAUCUUUUGAUUUGGCAGGUUCUUCAACAUACUAUAUUUUGUUUAAAUAAAGUUUAAUUUAAUAUAUAUUACGAUAA
This is a long non-coding RNA of Erigeron canadensis, 1319 nucleotides long. RefSeq lists it as uncharacterized. The record is from RefSeq and is a predicted model, not a curated record. The transcript has 2 exons. NCBI's taxonomy places the organism in Eukaryota, Viridiplantae, Streptophyta, Magnoliopsida, Asterales, Asteraceae.